UAAAUACUCCCUCCGUCCGAAAAUACUUGUUAUCAAAAUGGAUAAAAGGAGAUGUAUCUAAAACUAAAAAACGCCUAGAUACAUUUCCUUUUAUCCAUUUUGAUGACAAGUAUUUUUGGACGGAGGGAGUAUUUG
Non-coding RNA from Triticum aestivum (bread wheat), 135 nucleotides. NCBI's taxonomy places the organism in Eukaryota, Viridiplantae, Streptophyta, Magnoliopsida, Poales, Poaceae. The record is from Rfam.